CCUACGGGUGGCAGCAGUGGGGAAUAUUGGGCAAUGGAGGAAACUCUGACCCAGCAAUGCCGCGUGAAUGAAGAAGGUCUUCGGAUUGUAAAGUUCUAUAGUCAGGGAAGAAGUCAAUGACGGUACCUGAAGAAUAAGCUCCGGCUAAAUACGUGCCAGCAGCCGCGGUAAUACGUAGGGAGCAAGAGGUGUGCGGAAUGACUGGGCGUAAAGGGUGCGUAGGGGGUUGUACAAGUUUGAAAGGUAAUACCCGGGUCUUAACUAGGGUGCUGCUUCUAACACUGUAAGACUUGAGUGCGGGAGAGGUUAGUGGAAUUCCUAGUGUAGCGGUGGAAUGCGUAGAUAUUAGGAGGAACACCAGAGGCGAAGGCGGCUAACUGGACUGCAACUGACGCUGAGGCACGAAAGUGUGGGGAGCAAACAGGAUUAGAUACCCCUGUAGUC
Molecule: ribosomal RNA, 444 nt
Filed under: uncultured bacterium
Lineage: Bacteria
Description: partial 16S ribosomal RNA
Rfam family: Bacterial small subunit ribosomal RNA
Source: RNAcentral